CGGCGUGCUUAACACAUGCAAGUCGAACGAUGAAGCCCAGCUUGCUGGGUGGAUUAGUGGCGAACGGGUGAGUAACACGUGAGUAACCUGCCCUUGACUCUGGGAUAAGCGCUGGAAACGGCGUCUAAUACCGGAUACGACCUACCCCGGCAUCGGGUGUGGGUGGAAAGUUUUUCGGUCAAGGAUGGACUCGCGGCCUAUCAGCUUGUUGGUGAGGUAAUGGCUCACCAAGGCGACGACGGGUAGCCGGCCUGAGAGGGUGACCGGCCACACUGGGACUGAGACACGGCCCAGACUCCUACGGGAGGCAGCAGUGGGGAAUAUUGCACAAUGGGCGAAAGCCUGAUGCAGCAACGCCGCGUGAGGGAUGACGGCCUUCGGGUUGUAAACCUCUUUUAGUAGGGAAGAAGGGCUUCGGCUUGACGGUACCUGCAGAAAAAGCACCGGCUAACUACGUGCCAGCAGCCGCGGUAAUACGUAGGGUGCAAGCGUUGUCCGGAAUUAUUGGGCGUAAAGAGCUCGUAGGCGGUUUGUCGCGUCUGCUGUGAAAACCCGAGGCUCAACCUCGGGCCUGCAGUGGGUACGGGCAGACUAGAGUGCGGUAGGGGAGAAUGGAAUUCCUGGUGUAGCGGUGGAAUGCGCAGAUAUCAGGAGGAACACCGAUGGCGAAGGCAGUUCUCUGGGCCGUAACUGACGCUGAGGAGCGAAAGCGUGGGGAGCGAGCAGGAUUAGAUACCCUGGUAGUCCACGCCGUAAACGUUGGGCGCUAGAUGUGGGGACCUUUCCACGGUUUCCGUGUCGCAGCUAACGCAUUAAGCGCCCCGCCUGGGGAGUACGGCCGCAAGGCUAAAACUCAAAGGAAUUGACGGGGGCCCGCACAAGCGGCGGAGCAUGCGGAUUAAUUCGAUGCAACGCGAAGAACCUUACCAAGGCUUGACAUAUACGAGAACGGGCCAGAAAUGGUCAACUCUUUGGACACUCGUAAACAGGUGGUGCAUGGUUGUCGUCAGCUCGUGUCGUGAGAUGUUGGGUUAAGUCCCGCAACGAGCGCAACCCUCGUUCUAUGUUGCCAGCACGUUAUGGUGGGAACUCAUAGGAGACUGCCGGGGUCAACUCGGAGGAAGGUGGGGAUGACGUCAAAUCAUCAUGCCCCUUAUGUCUUGGGCUUCACGCAUGCUACAAUGGCCGGUACAAAGGGCUGCGAUACCGUAAGGUGGAGCGAAUUCCAAAAAGCCGGUCUCAGUUCGGAUUGAGGUCUGCAACUCGACCUCAUGAAGUCGGAGUCGCUAGUAAUCGCAGAUCAGCAACGCUGCGGUGAAUACGUUCCCGGGCCUUGUACACACCGCCCGUCAAGUCAUGAAAGUCGGUAACACCCGAAGCCGGUGGCCUAACCAUUUGGAGGGAGCCGUCGAAGGUGGGAUCGGUGAUUA
Molecule: ribosomal RNA, 1430 nt
Filed under: uncultured organism
Description: SSU rRNA
Rfam family: Bacterial small subunit ribosomal RNA
Source: RNAcentral